This 81-nucleotide transfer RNA is filed under the name Rhizobium leguminosarum. RNAcentral's name for it is "tRNA-Ser". Lineage: Bacteria; Pseudomonadati; Pseudomonadota; Alphaproteobacteria; Hyphomicrobiales; Rhizobiaceae. The record is from RNAcentral.
GACCACGAACGCUUUGCGGCGGCGAAAGUCGAAGUGGUAUGAAUCCUGGGGUCGGAGGUUCGAAUCCUCUCGUGGACACCA